GAUGAACGCUGGCGGCGUGCCUAAUACAUGCAAGUCGAGCGAACGGACGAGAAGCUUGCUUUUCUGAUGUUAGCGGCGGACGGGUGAGUAACACGUGGACAACCUACCUAUAAGACUGGGAUAACUUCGGGAAACCGGAGCUAAUACCGGAUAAUAUUUUGAACCGCAUGGUUCAAAAGUGAAAGACGGUCUUGCUGUCACUUAUAGAUGGAUCCGCGCUGCAUUAGCUAGUUGGUAAGGUAACGGCUUACCAAGGCAACGAUGUAUAGCCGACCUGAGAGGGUGAUCGGCCACACUGGAACUGAGACACGGUCCAGACUCCUACGGGAGGCAGCAGUAGGGAAUCUUCCGCAAUGGGCGAAAGCCUGACGGAGCCACGCCGCGUGAGUGAUGAAGGUCUUCGGAUCGUAAAACUCUGUUAUUAGGGAAGAACAUAUGUGUAAGUAACUGUGCACAUCUUGACGGUACCUAAUCAGAAAGCCACGGCUAACUACGUG
RNAcentral lists this ribosomal RNA (497 nucleotides) under uncultured bacterium. Its description in RNAcentral is "partial 16S ribosomal RNA". It matches the Rfam family "Bacterial small subunit ribosomal RNA", at positions 28 to 507 of the family's 1533-position model. The record is from RNAcentral.